Molecule: long non-coding RNA, 1239 nt
Filed under: Capra hircus (goat)
Lineage: Eukaryota; Metazoa; Chordata; Mammalia; Artiodactyla; Bovidae
Description: lncRNA (ENSCHIG00000001301.1)
Source: RNAcentral
CUCGGGUUCCACACACUCGGCCCCUCUGGCCUAGAUCCCUACUGGCUCCUGGGUCCGCCUCACUGGUUUUCAGCCUGACUCUCAAAUGUCUUCUCUGCCUUACUGCCUGGCCUUGGGAAGAGGGCAGGCUGAGGGCUGGAAGUAAGUGAAUUGUCCUGGCUGGCCACACUAGGGCCAAAAUGUAUGGUUUCUUUUUUUUUUUUUUAAUAUUUUUUUAAAUUGAGUUAUAAUUCUCUCGCUUUACUUGCACAAUUCAGUGACUUUGGUAUAUUUAUAGAGUUGUGUAACUAUCACCACAGACAUAGAGAUUUUUGGGAGGGCUACACCCAGCACGUAGGACCUUAAUUCUGCAACCAGAGAUUGAACCGGUACCCCCUAUAUUGGAAGAACUUAGCUUAGUCUUGGCGGUUGGACCACCAGGGAAGUCUUUAUACGGUUUCUUCUUGACACGAAGGCCCACUUUUAGGCAGGAAUGAAGCGGAGGAGGAUCCUGGAGGAGUGGCAGCUGCUGACCUCUCCCAGGCAUGAGCCAGGCAUCUGUCACCUUGUGGGAUGGGGGCUGGGGGCAAGGCACUCUGGGCUAUCCCUGUCUUUGUUUCCUUCCCCUCCAUAGCACAGGCAUGUCUACUCAUGGAGUUCGUCAGGCAGAGGGAGGGCCUUUGCCAGAAGAUGUGAUUCUGUUCCCCUGCACCCUGAAGACAAGGCAGUGCCAACACAUGACGCAACGAUGUGUCCAUCUCCGUGGAUUCCCGAAUCACAGACAGUUUUCUCCCCACAGAGCACCAAGUAUGGACCAGUGUCUCACUAUGUGCAGAUGUAGAGAACCCUGGUGGGUUACAGCGCAUUGACCAGCGCAUUUACAAUGCCGCCACCAUGUGAGCAGCAUGUCAUUAUUCCCGCAAGCUGUCGACGUUGUUGAACACCUCAGGCAGGCCGAUCAUUACUGUAUUAGCUGGUGAUUGGAACAACCGAAACAAUCCAACAGGUGUGGUUUAUUCUCUGAAGUCUUCAAAGUUCUGGCAGCUGUGAAACUGAAAUAGAAUCUCUUGGUCUGUUUUCUGGGUAAGGAAGCUAAGAACAUAUGAAAAAAAUUUCAUUGUCUUUAUAGAUUUUUUUCAAUUUUUUAUGCAUAUAUGUGUAUGUGAAUGCCUCUGGCAUUUAAUGGUCAGUAAUUGCUUUGGGCAAAAGCUUAUCAGAGCUCCUUGUGAACUUUCAAGUCGUUCCCUUUGAGUUCUUCAG